RNAcentral lists this ribosomal RNA (421 nucleotides) under uncultured bacterium. RNAcentral's name for it is "bacterial SSU rRNA". It matches the Rfam family "Bacterial small subunit ribosomal RNA", at positions 355 to 774 of the family's 1533-position model. The record is from RNAcentral.
UAAGGAAUAUUGGUCAAUGGACGCAAGUCUGAACCAGCCAUGCCGCGUGAAGGAUGAAGGUCCUCUGGAUUGUAAACUUCUUUUAUCUGGGACGAAAACGGGAUUUUUAUCUCAAUUGACGGUACCAGAGGAAUAAGCACCGGCUAACUCCGUGCCAGCAGCUGCGGUAAUACGGAGGGUGCGAGCGUUAUCCGGAUUUACUGGGUUUAAAGGGUGCGUAGGUGGGCUUAUAAGUCAGUGGUGAAAUCUCCGAGCUUAACUUGGAAACUGCCGUUGAUACUAUAGGUCUUGAAUUAUCUGGAGGUCAGCGGAAUAUGUCAUGUAGCGGUGAAAUGCUUAGAUAUGACAUAGAACACCAAUUGCGAAGGCAGCUUACUACAUAUAAAUUGACGCUGAGGCACGAAAGCGUGGGGAUCAAACA